This 334-nucleotide ribosomal RNA is filed under the name uncultured Conexibacter sp. RNAcentral's name for it is "bacterial SSU rRNA". It matches the Rfam family "Bacterial small subunit ribosomal RNA", at positions 571 to 903 of the family's 1533-position model. Lineage: Bacteria; Bacillati; Actinomycetota; Thermoleophilia; Solirubrobacterales; Conexibacteraceae. The record is from RNAcentral.
GUAUGCGGCUUGUAAGUCUGCUGUGAAAGUCCAGGGCUCAACCCUGGAGAUGCCGGUGGAUACUGUCAAGCUUGAGUCCGGAAGAGGCGAGUGGAAUUCCUGGUGUAGCGGUGAAAUGCGCAGAUAUCAGGAGGAACACCAAUGGCGAAGGCAGCUCGCUGGGACGUGACUGACGCUGAGACGCGAAAGCGUGGGGAGCAAACAGGAUUAGAUACCCUGGUAGUCCACGCCGUAAACGAUGGGCACUAGGUGUGGGGGGUGUCGACUCCCUCCGUGCCGACGCUAACGCAUUAAGUGCCCCGCCUGGGGAGUACGGCCGCAAGGCUAAAACUCA